Molecule: ribosomal RNA, 98 nt
Filed under: uncultured bacterium
Lineage: Bacteria
Description: partial 16S ribosomal RNA
Rfam family: Bacterial small subunit ribosomal RNA
Source: RNAcentral
CCCAGGCCUUGUACACACCGCCCGUCACAUCAUGAAAGCCGUUUGUACCCGAAGUCGCCUCUCAAAAGGUGCCGAAGGUAUGGAUGGUGAUUGGGAUG